Panicum virgatum (switchgrass) is the source of this 2198-nucleotide RNA transcript. It is a transcript of the gene named thylakoid membrane protein TERC, chloroplastic-like, with no coding region annotated. Lineage: Eukaryota; Viridiplantae; Streptophyta; Magnoliopsida; Poales; Poaceae. The transcript has 15 exons. The record is from RefSeq and is a predicted model, not a curated record.
GCUCGCGGCCGUACGCUUCCGAGCUGCACGCGUCUCCCCUCGCCCGACCGACCUCGUCGCCGGCGAUGGCUUCCGCGGUGGCCGCUUCGACCGCCGCUCGGUUCCUACCGCAGCUUGGGGCCUCGUGGCUGCGUCGCGCACGCGUGGCGCUCCUUCCGUCGCCGCUCCCAUGGCGGCCUCUCGCGGUCACGGUGGCCGCCGCGUCGCGGCGCCCUCGGGAUGGGGAAGGCGGGGGGCGGGGGAGAACGCGGAGGCGGCGCGCCAGGGGUGCGGAGCAGGAGGAAGGCGUCUCGCUCAGCUCCGAAAAGGACACAGUAAAUUCUACUCCAGGUGCUCAAAUCAGCAAGGGCACCGAGGCUGUACCAGAGUCCAGCAUGACCGGGAAAGGUUCGGCCAUUAGAAGGGUCACACUGGUGAUUCUCGCUGCAGUGCUUUUUGGAAUUAGCAUUGCUUUGAAGGAUGGAGCUGAAAAGGCAUCGGAGUAUUUUGCUGGGUAUUUAUUGGAACAGAGUUUGUCGGUGGACAAUCUCUUUGUUUUUGUUCUGGUUUUUAAGUAUUUCAAAGUGCCGAAGGAAUACCAGAACCGAGUACUUUCUUAUGGUAUUGCUGGAGCAGUGGUGUUCCGGACUGUGAUGAUCGUCCUUGGGGUCGCUACCAUUCAGAAAUUUGAGGCGGUGAACCUGCUGUUGGCUUUGAUCCUACUAUUCACUUCUUACAAGCUAUUUUCUGGAGAAGAAGAAGAAUCUGAUCUAUCCGAUAACUUCGUUGUGAAAACAUGCCAAAAGUUCAUUCCAGUCACUGAUUAUUAUGAUGAUGACCGGUUUUUCACUAGUCAAGAUGGCUUAUGGAAAGCCACACCAUUACUCUUGACUUUGGCAGUGAUUGAGCUGAGUGAUAUUGCUUUCGCUAUUGACUCUAUACCAGCAGUCUUCGGCGUCACAAGGGAUCCACUUAUAAUACUAUCAUCAAAUAUUUUUGCUAUUUCUGGUUUGCGGUCACUGUACGUGCUCAUUUCUGAAAGCAUGGCCGAAUUGGAGUAUCUACAGCCUGCUAUUGGUAUCGUUUUGGGCUUCAUAGGGACAAAGAUGAUCUUUGACUUUUUUGGUUAUCAUAUUCCAACAGAAGCUUCACUUGCUAUUGUUACCACCUGUCUUAGCGGAGGUGUCAUAUUAAGUCUUAGGAAAGCAUCAAAAGAGGAGGGGGACAAGUAGAGAAAUGCAACGACCUAUGCAGGUAAACUUAAGAGCCACCAAUAAUGAGGAAAUAUACUGAUUGCCAAGGCUGCCACAAGAUUGGGCUCUCAAGGGGCUGCCAUUUGUUUAAUAGGAUCUAACCAUGAAACCAUCCAGUUCCACAGGUUAGCUACACAAGUCAUGUUGCCUGUAAUGCCUCCACAAGGCUUGCCCCGUUGAUCUGGUCAGAUGCUGUUGGUAACAGGAUUACCUAAAGAGUGUACUUUUGUGAUAACCUCGCCAAGCUUUGUGCAGCUCUGUGAAAGCUUAAGUGCAGUUUUGUGUUAGUUUGCGCUCAUACAUGUUCUGGAAUUUUGAGCUUGACAAAAGUAAGGAAGCUUCUCAAGGUGGUUCAGCUUGAGCUCGUGUUAGGUUUGAAUAUCAUUGCCAUGGCUUAGCGGCCCCCUGCUUUUUAUCGAAUUUGAACCAUCAUCAUGCUGAAACCCCUGCAUCACCGCUCUAUACUGUGCUUUAAACAUCACCGCUCUGAUUGCAGUGAUCAAGAAUCAUGUCAAGUAUCAACCAUGUUUGCAACUGACGAGGACUUAGUGUACUUCAUUCACUGUUCAUGUUUGGAAGUAGGAGGCCUUGAAGACAUUUGCAAUUCACGUAACACCCUUGUUGCACUAGUGGUAGUCUCCACUACUUAGCUGACUUAAGCAGUUCAGCUGACGGCUUUGAGUAUGUGACCUCAGUAUAAAAUGGUAGAUGCGAUCAGGACAUGACAUUGAUGCCUGAUCCUGAUCUGGAAGUUCCAAUUGAAGACUGCAGGCUGAAAACAUAGGAAUCCUGCCCUUGUAAUGUCUGUUGCUUGUUAAGCUAGCACAUAGAGUACAUUCUGAACAUGAUGGGCAAUGAACUACAAUUUACAGUGUAACUCAAACAAUAGUAUGCUCCAGCUUAAUACAUUACAACAACAACAACAUAGCUUAAUACAUUACAAAAAUAUGGUUUUUUAUCAUUAUA